AGUGAACGCUGGCGGUAGGCCUAACACAUGCAAGUCGAACGGCAGCACAGUAAGAGCUUGCUCUUACGGGUGGCGAGUGGCGGACGGGUGAGGAAUACAUCGGAAUCUACUUUUUCGUGGGGGAUAACGUAGGGAAACUUACGCUAAUACCGCAUACGACCUACGGGUGAAAGCAGGGGAUCUUCGGACCUUGCGCGAUUGAAUGAGCCGAUGUCGGAUUAGCUAAUUGGCGGGGUAAAGGCCCACCAAGGCGACGAUCCGUAGCUGGUCUGAGAGGAUGAUCAGCCACACUGGAACUGAGACACGGUCCAGACUCCUACGGGAGGCAGCAGCGGGGAAUAUUGGACAAUGGGCGCAAGCCUGAUCCAGCCAUACCGCGUGGGUGAAGAAGGCCUUCGGGUUGUAAAGCCCUUUUGUUGGGAAAGAAAAGCAGCAGGUUAAUACCCCGCUGUUCUGACGGUACCCAAAGAAUAAGCACCGGCUAACUUCGUG
Molecule: ribosomal RNA, 492 nt
Filed under: uncultured bacterium
Lineage: Bacteria
Description: partial 16S ribosomal RNA
Rfam family: Bacterial small subunit ribosomal RNA
Source: RNAcentral